Molecule: ribosomal RNA, 393 nt
Filed under: uncultured bacterium
Lineage: Bacteria
Description: partial 16S ribosomal RNA
Rfam family: Bacterial small subunit ribosomal RNA
Source: RNAcentral
AUACGGAGGAUCCGAGCGUUAUCCGGAUUUAUUGGGUUUAAAGGGUGCGCAGGCGGCCGUGCAAGUCAGCGGUGAAAGCCCGGGGCUCAACCCCGGAAGUGCCGUUGAUACUGCGUGGCUGGAAUGCGGUCGAGGCGGGCGGAACGUGGCGGGUAGCGGGGAAAUGCGUAGAUAUGCCACAGAACGCCGAUAGCGGAGGCAGCUCGCCAGGCCUGCAUUGACGCUCGGGCACGAAAGCGUGGGGAUCGAACAGGAUUAGAUACCCUGGUAGUCCACGCCGUAAACGAUGGGCGCUCGUCGUCGGCGGCAGACAGUCGGCGGCCAAGCGAAAGCGAUAAGCGCCCCACCUGGGGAGUACGGUCGCAAGGCUGAAACUCAAAUGAAUUGGCGGGG